This 22-nucleotide microRNA is filed under the name Sarcophilus harrisii (Tasmanian devil). RNAcentral's name for it is "Sha-Mir-7397_5p (mature (guide))". Lineage: Eukaryota; Metazoa; Chordata; Mammalia; Dasyuromorphia; Dasyuridae. The record is from RNAcentral.
UAUCUGUAUGUCUUGGUAACAC